RNAcentral lists this unclassified non-coding RNA (337 nucleotides) under soil metagenome. RNAcentral's name for it is "partial contains 5.8S ribosomal RNA, internal transcribed spacer 2, and large subunit ribosomal RNA". The stretch from base 1 to 120 matches the Rfam family "5.8S ribosomal RNA", at positions 35 to 154 of the family's 154-position model. The record is from RNAcentral.
GAUGAAGAACGCAGCGAAAUGCGAUAAGUAAUGUGAAUUGCAGAAUUCAGUGAAUCAUCGAAUCUUUGAACGCACAUUGCGCCCCUUGGUAUUCCGGGGGGCAUGCCUGUUCGAGCGUCAUUUCAACCCUCAAGCUCUGCUUGGUAUUGGGCACCGUCCUUUGCGGGCGCGCCUCAAAGACCUCGGCGGUGGCGUCUUGCCUCAAGCGUAGUAGAAUACACCUCGCUUCGGAGCGUAAGGCGUUGCCCGCCGGACGAACCUUCUGAACUUUUCUCAAGGUUGACCUCGGAUCAGGUAGGGAUACCCGCUGAACUUAAGCAUAUCAAUAAGCGGAGGA